CACAGAUAUAAUAAUAUUUUAUUAAAACAAAAAAACCUUGCACAAAGCACUGGCUCCUGUCUAGUUACAACCCUUAACUUAGCUCCAUGAUGCUAUCAUUACAAACCCUCCAACAUAAUUUUGUCACUUUGUGGCCCCAUCAAUAACCCAUUAAAACUAAUCCCAAACUUAUUACAGCCUUGACCGUACAUAAAGAUACAGUACUUAUUCAUCUGUAAUUAACCGAUAGGCAAAACCCAUUAAUAUUUUCAAACCACCCUCAAAUUCCAAAAUUUUCAAGCUUUAACCUGCAUAUUAGCAUCUGCAAGACAGACGGAGAAGGUGAGGUGACAUACUAGUGAAGACUUCACCAGGUGGUAUCCAUAUUUCACUUAAACUUUGACAGACACAAAAGUAAGGGCAGCAGGGAACUUCUCCAAUGAUGAGAAUAGAUGAUCUUUGAUGAAACAAAGUGGUUUGCUUCAUAUAAGAAGAAAGAACUUUAGCAAAAUGUUCAUAAAUUUGUUAUAUUCAGUCAGAGAAAAUGGUUAUGGUAGCAUGUGCAAUUCAUUCCUUUCUAUUCAGGAUUGUAGUGACCUCACAUAUCCUUGAAGGAUUACUGACACAAAGGAGCUGCUGCAAAUUUUGGGAAGAAACCCAACAUUUUAUAACUAUUGACUCAACAAUUGAGGGAAGUGAGGUCAUAAUGGUGUUAAGAUGGAUAAUACGUCUCCAUUAGAGAAGGAUUCUAAAGGGGAAAUUCAGUUCAAUAAGGUCAAGAACUCUGACUAGUGUCUGAAAGGGUUUCUUGGCUUCAAGCAAAUUACCCUGAUAUUUCCCUCUUCUAACUUCAAUGGAGAAGUUCCAGCUCAUAUUGAACCGAAGAGGAAGAAGAAGCACCCAACACAAUGUCCUUUAUACAACACAGCACCAAACAUCAUAUUAAAG
This 927-nucleotide unclassified non-coding RNA is filed under the name Hevea brasiliensis (rubber tree). Lineage: Eukaryota; Viridiplantae; Streptophyta; Magnoliopsida; Malpighiales; Euphorbiaceae. The record is from RNAcentral.